This 459-nucleotide ribosomal RNA is filed under the name uncultured bacterium. Its description in RNAcentral is "partial 16S ribosomal RNA". It matches the Rfam family "Bacterial small subunit ribosomal RNA", at positions 338 to 795 of the family's 1533-position model. The record is from RNAcentral.
CCUACGGGAGGCAGCAGUGAGGAAUAUUGGUCAAUGGCCGGAAGUCUGAACCAGCCAAGCCGCGUGAGGGAGGAAGGCGCAGAGCGUCGCAGACCUCUUUUGCCGGGGGACAAACGGCCGGACUCGUCCGGUCCUGAGUGUACCCGGAGAAAAAGCAUCGGCUAACUCCGUGCCAGCAGCCGCGGUAAUACGGAGGAUGCGAGCGUUAUCCGGAUUCAGUGGGUUUAAAGGGUGAGCAGGCGGGCCUUUAAGCCGGCGGGGAAACCGCGGGGCUCAACCCCGCAGAGCCGUCGGAACUGGGGGCCUUGAGUGCGGCGGAGGCGGGCGGAAUGCGCGGUGUAGCGGUGAAAUGCAUAGAUAUCGCGCAGAACCCCGAUUGCGAAGGCAGCGUGCCGUGCCGCCACUGACGCUGAGGCACGAAAGCGCGGGGAUCGAACAGGAUUAGAUACCCGAGUAGUC